RNAcentral lists this long non-coding RNA (232 nucleotides) under Elaeis guineensis (African oil palm). RNAcentral's name for it is "long non-coding RNA (EGUI_LNC080618)". Lineage: Eukaryota; Viridiplantae; Streptophyta; Magnoliopsida; Arecales; Arecaceae. The record is from RNAcentral.
CCUGCACCCCGAAUAUGACUCUGGAUAUAGAAUGAUGUCAAAUCCAAUAUCAUACUCAUAUUUCUCUCAAUCUUAUAUGAUGAUUCAAUUAAUAAAAUAUUAAAAAAAUUUAAUUUAUAUUUUGCUUUGAUCAAAGGCUUCCUGAAUCAUCAAUCGAUCAGAACAAGUAGGAUGCGAUUUUCUCUUACCAAGAUUGAUCGAUUCCAUGUUUACCUACUCACAAUCACCAUAC